This 350-nucleotide ribosomal RNA is filed under the name uncultured bacterium. RNAcentral's name for it is "bacterial SSU rRNA". It matches the Rfam family "Bacterial small subunit ribosomal RNA", at positions 1128 to 1477 of the family's 1533-position model. The record is from RNAcentral.
CGGGUGGGCACUCUAAGGAGACUGCCGGUGACAAACCGGAGGAAGGUGGGGAUGACGUCAAGUCAUCAUGGCCCUUACGGCCAGGGCUACACACGUGCUACAAUGGUCGGUACAAAGGGUUGCCAAGCCGCGAGGUGGAGCUAAUCCCAUAAAACCGAUCGUAGUCCGGAUCGCAGUCUGCAACUCGACUGCGUGAAGUCGGAAUCGCUAGUAAUCGUGAAUCAGAAUGUCACGGUGAAUACGUUCCCGGGCCUUGUACACACCGCCCGUCACACCAUGGGAGUGGGUUGCUCCAGAAGUAGCUAGUCUAACCGCAAGGGGGACGGUUACCACGGAGUGAUUCAUGACUG